This 472-nucleotide ribosomal RNA is filed under the name uncultured bacterium. Its description in RNAcentral is "bacterial SSU rRNA". It matches the Rfam family "Bacterial small subunit ribosomal RNA", at positions 335 to 799 of the family's 1533-position model. The record is from RNAcentral.
ACUCCUACGGGAGGCAGCAGUGGGGAAUAUUGCACAAUGGGCGCAAGCCUGAUGCAGCCAUGCCGCGUGUGUGAAGAAGGCCUUCGGUUGUAAAGCACUUUCAGUCGUGAGGAAGGCGGCGUCGUUAAUAGCGGCGUUGUUUGACGUUAGCGACAGAAGAAGCACCGGCUAACUCCGUGCCAGCAGCCGCGGUAAUACGGAGGGUGCGAGCGUUAAUCGGAAUUACUGGGCGUAAAGCGCAUGCAGGUGGUUUGUUAAGUCAGAUGUGAAAGCCCGGGGGCUCAACCUCGGAAUUGCAUUUGAAACUGGCAGACUAGAGUACUGUAGAGGGGGUAGAAUUUCAGGUGUAGCGGUGAAAUGCGUAGAGAUCUGAAGGAAUACCGGUGGCGAAGGCGGCCCCCUGGACAGAUACUGACACUCAGAUGCGAAAGCGUGGGGAGCAAACAGGAUUAGAUACCCUGGUAGGACAGUG